UCUGAUGUUAGCGGCGGACGGGUGAGUAACACGUGGAUAACCUACCUAUAAGACUGGGAUAACUUCGGGAAACCGGAGCUAAUACCGGAUAAUAUUUUGAACCGCAUGGUUCAAAAGUGAAAGACGUUCUUGCUGUCACUUAUAGAUGGAUCCGCGCUGCAUUAGCUAGGUUGGUAAGUUAACGGCUAACCAAGGCAACGAUGCAUAGCCGACCUGAGAGGGUGAUCGGGCCACACUGGAACUGUGACACGGUCCAGACUCCUACGGGAGGCAGCAGUAGGGAAUCUUCCGCAAUGGGCGAAAGCCUGACGGAGCAACGCCGCGUGAGUGAUGAAGGUCUUCGGAUCGUAAAAACUCUGUUAUUAGGGAAGAACAUAUGUGUAAGUAACUGUGCACAUCUUGACGGUACCUAAUCAGAAAGCCACGGCUAACUACGUGCCAGCAGCCGCGGUAAUACGUAGGUGGCAAGCGUUAUCCGGAAUUAUUGGGCGUAAAGCGCGCGUAGGCGGUUUUUUAAGUCUGACGUGAAAGCCCACGGCUCAACCGUGGAGGGUCAUUGGAAACUGGAAAACUUGAGUGCAGAAGAGGAAAGUGGAAUUCCAUGUGUAGCGGUGAAAUGCGCAGAGAUAUGGAGGAACACCAGUGGCGAAGGCGACUUUCUGGUCUGUAACUGACGCUGAUGUGCGAAAGCGUGGGGAUCAAACAGGAUUAGAUACCCUGGUAGUCCACGCCGUAAACGAUGAGUGCUAAGUGUUAGGGGGUUUCCGCCCCCUUAGUGCUGCAGCUAACGCAUUAAGCACUCCGCCUGGGGAGUACGACCGCA
Molecule: ribosomal RNA, 823 nt
Filed under: uncultured Staphylococcus sp.
Lineage: Bacteria; Bacillati; Bacillota; Bacilli; Caryophanales; Staphylococcaceae
Description: bacterial SSU rRNA
Rfam family: Bacterial small subunit ribosomal RNA
Source: RNAcentral